RNAcentral lists this ribosomal RNA (457 nucleotides) under Olea europaea subsp. europaea. Its description in RNAcentral is "LSU_rRNA_archaea". The stretch from base 80 to 457 matches the Rfam family "Eukaryotic large subunit ribosomal RNA", at positions 1 to 404 of the family's 3401-position model. The record is from RNAcentral. Lineage: Eukaryota; Viridiplantae; Streptophyta; Magnoliopsida; Lamiales; Oleaceae.
AUCUAGCUCGUCGUUGUGCACAACUGCAUUGUUCGAGCAGAAUGUGUUGACCUCGAAGGUGCUCCUCACACUUCGACAGCGACCAUAGGUCAGGCAGGAUCACCUGUUGAGUUUAAGUAUAUCAAUAAGCGGAGGUAAAGAAACUAACAAAGAUUCUCCUAGUAAUGACAAACAAACUAGAAAAAACCCAACUUGAGAAUUGGAUGGCUCCAUCGUUCAGAUUGUAGUCUAGAGAAGCGUCAUCGACGGUGGACCGAGCUCAAGUCCUCUAGGAAGGGGUGCUAGAGAGGAUGAGAGCCCCGUUGUGCUCGAACCCUGUCGCAGCACGAAGCACUGUCGAUGAGUCAAGUCGUUUAGGAAUGCAGCCCCAAUCGAGCGGUAAAUUCCGUCCAAGGCUAAAUAUCGUGAGGAAAAGAUGAAAAGAACUUUGAAAAAAGAGUUAAAAAAGUGUUUGAAA